CAGUCGCCGCGGUAAUACGAACCGUGCGAACGUUAUUCGGAAUCACUGGGCUUAAAGCGCGUGUAGGCGGGCCGCCGCGUCGACUGCUGAAAUCCCCCGGCUCAACCGGGGAACGGGCAUCGAUACGGGCGGCCUCGAGGGGGGUAGGGGGACCUGGAACUUCCGGUGGAGCGGUGAAAUGCGUUGAGAUCGGAAGGAACGCCCGUGGCGAAAGCGAGGUCCUGGACCCUUUCUGACGCUGAGACGCGAAAGCCAGGGGAGCGAACGGGAUUAGAUACCCCGGUAGUCCCUGUCUCUUAUA
Molecule: ribosomal RNA, 301 nt
Filed under: uncultured bacterium
Lineage: Bacteria
Description: partial 16S ribosomal RNA
Rfam family: Bacterial small subunit ribosomal RNA
Source: RNAcentral